CAGUCGCCGCGGGAAUACGAAGGGUGCAAGCGUUACUCGGAAUUACUGGGCGUAAAGCGUGCGUAGGUGGUGGUUUAAGUCCGUUGUGAAAGCCCUGGGCUCAACCUGGGAAUUGCAGUGGAUACUGGGUCACUAGAGUGUGGUAGAGGAUAGUGGAAUUUCCGGUGUAGCAGUGAAAUGCGUAGAGAUCGGAAGGAACAUCUGUGGCGAAAGCGACUAUCUGGGCCAACACUGACACUGAGGCACGAAAGCGUGGGGAGCAAACAGGAUUAGAUACCCGGGUAGUCCCUGUCUCUUAUAC
Molecule: ribosomal RNA, 301 nt
Filed under: uncultured bacterium
Lineage: Bacteria
Description: partial 16S ribosomal RNA
Rfam family: Bacterial small subunit ribosomal RNA
Source: RNAcentral